This 440-nucleotide ribosomal RNA is filed under the name uncultured bacterium. Its description in RNAcentral is "bacterial SSU rRNA". It matches the Rfam family "Bacterial small subunit ribosomal RNA", at positions 338 to 776 of the family's 1533-position model. The record is from RNAcentral.
CCUACGGGAGGCUGCAGUGAGGAAUAUUGGUCAAUGGACGGAAGUCUGAACCAGCCAAGUCGCGUGAAGGAUGAAGGUUCUAUGGAUUGUAAACUUCUUUUGUCUGAGGGUAAAAAAGCGGACGUGUCCGUUCUUGCAAGUAUCAGACGAAUAAGCAUCGGCUAACUCCGUGCCAGCAGCCGCGGUAAUACGGAGGAUGUGAGCGUUAUCCGGAUUUAUUGGGUUUAAAGGGUGCGUAGGCGGGUUAUUAAGUCAGUGGUGAAAGCGUGUGGCUCAACCAUACCAAGCCAUUGAAACUGGUGAUCUUGAGUGCAAACGAGGUAGGCGGAAUGUGACGUGUAGCGGUGAAAUGCUUAGAUAUGUCACAGAACCCCGAUUGCGAAGGCAGCUUACCAGCAUGCAACUGACGCUGAGGCACGAAAGCGUGGGUAUCAAACAGG